RNAcentral lists this transfer RNA (84 nucleotides) under Flavobacteriaceae bacterium. RNAcentral describes it as "tRNA-Leu". It matches the Rfam family "tRNA". From Rfam's summary of the family: Transfer RNA (tRNA) molecules are approximately 80 nucleotides in length. Their secondary structure includes four short double-helical elements and three loops (D, anti-codon, and T loops). Lineage: Bacteria; Pseudomonadati; Bacteroidota; Flavobacteriia; Flavobacteriales; Flavobacteriaceae. RNAcentral also lists the same sequence under 1 other name. The record is from RNAcentral.
GCCGAAGUGGUGGAAUUGGUAGACACGAGGGAUUCAAAAUCCCUUGCUAUUAUUAGCGUGUGAGUUCGAGUCUCAUCUUCGGUA